RNAcentral lists this ribosomal RNA (455 nucleotides) under uncultured bacterium. RNAcentral describes it as "bacterial SSU rRNA". It matches the Rfam family "Bacterial small subunit ribosomal RNA", at positions 1077 to 1533 of the family's 1533-position model. The record is from RNAcentral.
GGGUUAAGUCCCGCAACGAGCGCAACCCUUGUCAUUAGUUGCCAUCAUUUAGUUGGGCACUCUAAUGAGACUGCCGGUGACAAACCGGAGGAAGGUGGGGAUGACGUCAAGUCCUCAUGGCCCUUAUGGGUAGGGCUUCACACGUCAUACAAUGGUCGGUACAGAGGGUUGCCAAGCCGCGAGGUGGAGCCAAUCCCAGAAAGCCGAUCGUAGUCCGGAUCGUAGUCUGCAACUCGACUACGUGAAGUCGGAAUCGCUAGUAAUCGCGGAUCAGCAUGUCGCGGUGAAUACGUUCCCGGGUCUUGUACACACCGCCCGUCACACCAUGGGAGUGGGUUCUACCAGAAGUAGUUAGCCUAACCGCAAGGAGGGCGAUUACCACGGUAGGAUUCAUGACUGGGGUGAAGUCGUAACAAGGUAGCCGUAUCGGAAGGUGCGGCUGGAUCACCUCCUUU